This 210-nucleotide long non-coding RNA is filed under the name Mytilus galloprovincialis (Mediterranean mussel). The record is from RNAcentral. Lineage: Eukaryota; Metazoa; Mollusca; Bivalvia; Mytilida; Mytilidae.
AUUUUUGGUAUGAAUGGUUAUUUUUCUCUAUGAUCCCGAAAAGUAUUAUCGCUACAUAAAAUGCAUAUAUUAUACACUUAUUUUAUUAUAUAAAGUACUGGUAGUCAUUCGUUAGAGCUAUAUGUAAAUCACUUUAGAAAGUACACACAUUCCGAUCGAUACUUUGAGGUGUAUUCGAUAAGACUUUGUUAUGAGUAGAUUUUAAAUACC